CUAGUGACCGAUAGUGAACCAGUACCGUGAGGGAAAGGUGAAAAGUACCCCGGAAGGGGAGUGAAAGAGAACUUGAAACCGUGUGCUUACAAGUAGUCAGAGCCCGUUAAUGGGUGAUGGCGUGCCUUUUGUAGAAUGAACCGGCGAGUUACGAUCUGAUGCAAGGUUAAGCAGCAAAUGUGGAGCCGCAGCGAAAGCGAGUCUGAAUAGGGCGUUGAGUAUUUGGUCGUAGACCCGAAACCAGGUGAUCUACCCUUGGUCAGGUUGAAGUUCAGGUAACACUGAAUGGAGGACCGAACCGACUUACGUUGAAAAGUGAGCGGAUGAACUGAGGGUAGCGGAGAAAUUCCAAUCGAACUUGGAGAUAGCUGGUUCUCUCCGAAAUAGCUUUAGGGCUAGCCUCAAGUGAUGAUUAUUGGAGGUAGAGCACUGUUUGGACGAGGGGCCCCUCUCGGGUUACCGAAUUCAGACAAACUCCGAAUGCCAAUUAAUUUAACUUGGGAGUCAGAACAUGGGUGAUAAGGUCCGUGUUCGAAAGGGAAACAGCCCAGACCACCAGCUAAGGUCCCAAAAUAUAUGUUAAGUGGAAAAGGAUGUGGCGUUGCCCAGACAACUAGGAUGUUGGCUUAGAAGCAGCCAUCAUUUAAAGAGUGCGUAAUAGCUCACUAGUCGAGUGACACUGCGCCGAAAAUGUACCGGGGCUAAACAUAUUACCGAAGCUGUGGAUUGUCCUUUGGACAAUGGUAGGAGAGCGUUCUAAGGGCGUCGAAGCAUGAUCGCAAGGACAUGUGGAGCGCUUAGAAGUGAGAAUGCCGGUGUGAGUAGCGAAAGACGGGUGAGAAUCCCGUCCACCGAUUGACUAAGGUUUCCAGAGGAAGGCUCGUCCGCUCUGGGUUAGUCGGGUCCUAAGCUGAGGCCGACAGGCGUAGGCGAUGGAUAACAGGUUGAUAUUCCUGUACCACCUAGUAUCGUUUUAAUCGAUGGGGGGACGCAGUAGGAUAGGCGAAGCGUGCUGUUGGAGUGCACGUCCAAGCAGUAAGGCUGAGUGUUAGGCAAAUCCGGCACUCAUAAGGCUGAGCUGUGAUGGGGAGAGGAAAUUGUUUCCUCGAGUCGUUGAUUUCACACUGCCGAGAAAAGCCUCUAGAUAGAUAACAGGUGCCCGUACCGCAAACCGACACAGGUAGUCAAGAUGAGAAUUCUAAGGUGAGCGAGCGAACUCUCGUUAAGGAACUCGGCAAAAUGACCCCGUAACUUCGGGAGAAGGGGUGCUCUUUAGGGUUCACGCCCAGAAGAGCCGCAGUGAAUAGGCCCAAGCGACUGUUUAUCAAAAACACAGGUCUCUGCUAAACCGUAAGGUGAUGUAUAGGGGCUGACGCCUGCCCGGUGCUGGAAGGUUAAGAGGAGUGGUUAGCUUCUGCGAAGCUACGAAUCGAAGCCCCAGU
This 1442-nucleotide ribosomal RNA is filed under the name Staphylococcus sp. HMSC068G12. RNAcentral describes it as "bacterial LSU rRNA". It matches the Rfam family "Bacterial large subunit ribosomal RNA", at positions 477 to 1924 of the family's 2925-position model. The record is from RNAcentral. Lineage: Bacteria; Bacillati; Bacillota; Bacilli; Caryophanales; Staphylococcaceae.